AGCGGCGAACGGGUGAGUAACACGUGGGUGAUCUGCCUGGAAGCCUGGGACAACAGCUGGAAACGGCUGCUAAUACCGGAUGAAGUCUAUCAUUCGUUUGAUAGACCAAAGAAUUUCGCUUCCAGAUGAGCCCGCGGCCCAUUAGCUAGUUGGUGGGGUAAGGGCCUACCAAGGCGACGAUGGGUAGCCGGUCUGAGAGGAUGGUCGGCCACACUGGAACUGAGACACGGUCCAGACUCCUACGGGAGGCAGCAGUGGGGAAUUUUGCGCAAUGGGCGAAAGCCUGACGCAGCGACGCCGCGUGAGUGACGAAGGCCUUCGGGUUGUAAAGCUCUGUUGAGGGGGAAGAUAAUGACGGUACCCCUUAAGAAAGCCCCGGCUAACUACGUGCCAGCAGCCGCGGUAAGACGUAGGGGGCGAGCGUUGUCCGGAAUUACUGGGUGUAAAGGGCGUGUAGGCGGCUAAGUAAGUCAGCUGUGAAAUUCCCCGGCUCAACUGGGGGCCUGCAGUUGAAACUACUUAGCUUGAGUGCAGGAGAGGAAGGUGGAAUUCCCAGUGUAGCGGNGAAAUGCGUAGAUAUUGGGAGGANCACCGGUGGCGAANG
RNAcentral lists this ribosomal RNA (604 nucleotides) under uncultured bacterium. RNAcentral describes it as "bacterial SSU rRNA". It matches the Rfam family "Bacterial small subunit ribosomal RNA", at positions 94 to 721 of the family's 1533-position model. The record is from RNAcentral.